UGGGGAGCUUGAUUACGGUUCUGGAUUAGCGGAUUAGGGUUUUAGUGAUGGAGAUUGUGGUCUAAUUUUUUUAGGGUUAGUACGGAAAGAGGGGAAACUGAGAAAAAGAGAAAGGUCUUUCGCGAGUGGAGAGAGGGAAAAUAAUCAGAUUAGUCUUUUUUUUGCUAAGUGUACCGCGGUAAAGCUAAUUUUAGGUUCCCGCUUAGUGAAACUCUGAGUUGUGCCUCACCGGGAGUUCCUAAUCAUAUCAGAAACAGUACAUAAAGUCAAAUUUAGACAUAACAUAUUCAAAAUGGAAAACUAUCUAAGGUAGCAUGAAAUAGAUAUCUUACCGCCCAAUAAGGUAGCUUGAAAAAGAUAGAUCUUUUCUUCCAUCUAGAUAACUAACCCUCAUCUAUUUCCACUUCUUCCUCUUCCUCCUCAUCUUCCUCUUCCUCUUCAUCUAAAUCGGUACAGCCCAUAUUUUUUCUCUUACUCCCAGAAUGUUUAACAAUGCCAAAGUCAUUCUUGAAAUUUCUAAGGUUUGUGAAAUUUCAAGGCCGGUUAAAAUUCUUCCCCUUCUCCUUUGCUCAGCUUUUCCAUCAAACCACUUCUUCUUUCCUCGGAAACUAUGAGCUGGUGGCAGACCUUUUCUGUGGCACAUAUACACAUGUUUUCUGCUGUACUUAAGCCACAUACUGUCUGUGUUUUUCCCACAUAAAGGACACCCCAUUUUUCCCUUAACUUUGCAGCCUGCAAGAUUCCCAUAAGCCGGGAAAUCACUGAUCGUCCAAAGCAGCAUUGCCUUCAGUGUGAAAGUUGAUCGAGUAUAAGUGUCGUACACUAACUCUCCACUGCUCCACAGAUGGUUUAGAUCUUCAAUGAGAGGCUCUAAGUAGAUAUCUAUACUGUUACCGGGCUGUUGUGGACCAGGAAUCAACAGUGAAAGCAUUAUGCUCUCCUUCUUCAUACAUAAAUCAGGUGGCAAGUUGUAGUUGACUAACAAUACCGGCCAGCAACUGUACAUAGAAUUAUUCAUGUUGAAUGGAUUAAAUCCGUCUGUUGAAAGUCCAAGCCUCAUGUUCCUUUCUUCAGCGGCAAAGUCAGGGUAUUUCGCAUUCAUCUGAUCCCAUGUGACUGAAUCAACAGGGUGUCGAAGUUUCCCAUCAGUGCUUUUGUUGUUGAAGUGCCACCUUAGAUCCUUAGCCAUUUCCUCAGACCGGAACAUUCUCUUCAACCUUGGGAUUAUUGGAAAGUAGAGUAAUACUUUCUGUGGGACUCCUUUCUUCUUCUCACCCGUAUGGAUAUUAGUCUUCCAUCUCGAUGCCUUGCAUUUUGGACAGUACUCAAGCUUCUUCAACUUCUUUCUGAAUAGGCAGCAGUCAUUCACACAAGCAUGGAUCUUCUCGUAACCCAUAUCAAAUGAUUUCAAAAAUUUCUUAACCUCGUACAGUGAAGUGUGCAGCACAUUCUCCUCUGGUAACAUUUCCGGCAACGUCUCUAGCAGUUCAUUGAAGCUCUUGUCAGACCAUCCAUUCUGAGUCUUCAAUCUAAAUAAUGACACUAUUGCAGAUAACUUGCUGUGGUUCGCACAUGUAGGAUACAAAGGUGUUUCACAUAACAUAUAUGAUAAAAUUCAUUACCUGCUCAGAUGAACCCAGUCUUUGUCCACCAUUCUAUGUUCUAAAACCUAAAUUGAAACCUUUAGUAACAUAGAGAACCAUUCAAAGUAACAAAUAAUAUAAUCAAUCAAAACUAAAUUGAACAAUUUAUCGCUUGACUGUAAAUCGAAAUCGAUAAAAUCAUGAAUCAAGUUUAAUGUUGUUAAGAAUAUAAUAAAGGGAAUCUAAGCAAACAACGUGGAGCAGGAACGCAAAUCAAACAGGAAAGAAAACAAAGACAAAAUCAAAGCAACAAAACAUCUCUUCCAUUUGAGAUAACAAGCGACAGAGAUGUCGCAAUCACAAUCUCCGAUACCUGUGCAGUCGACAAUAAUGGAUGUGGGGAGCUUGAUUACGGUUCUGGAUUAGCGGAUUAGGGUUUUAGUGAUGGAGAUUGUGGUCUAAUUUUUUUAGGGUUAGUACGGAAAGAGGGGAAACUGAGAAAAAGAGAAAGGUCUUUCGCGAGUGGAGAGAGGGAAAAUAAUCAGAUUAGUCUUUUUUUUGCUAAGUGUGCCGCGGUAAAGCUAAUUUUAGGUUCCCGCUUAGUGAAACUCUACCAUAGCGUUUAAUUAACCCUAUUAUAUAAUAAGCAAAUUUUAGCCUCAUCUAUGAUAGCAGUUCAGUAAAACGUGCUAUAAUCAUGUGCUAUCAAUGAGG
RNAcentral lists this long non-coding RNA (2297 nucleotides) under Brassica napus (rape). RNAcentral's name for it is "long non-coding RNA (BNAP_LNC025459)". Lineage: Eukaryota; Viridiplantae; Streptophyta; Magnoliopsida; Brassicales; Brassicaceae. The record is from RNAcentral.